This is a long non-coding RNA of Danaus plexippus (monarch butterfly), 557 nucleotides long. RefSeq lists it as uncharacterized. The transcript has 2 exons. NCBI's taxonomy places the organism in Eukaryota, Metazoa, Arthropoda, Insecta, Lepidoptera, Nymphalidae. The record is from RefSeq and is a predicted model, not a curated record.
AUGAAUGAAAGGAGUGGACGUUUUAAGGCUCACUGAUCGGUUAUCGGGCUUAGGCAGUGACAAUCGACACACAAUGCCGAGGAUAUUAGUACGGGCGAGUUAAUUUAAGAAGCACUUGCCGAUCGGUUUUAGACAUAAGAAAAUAACGAGGAAAUAGCCCCAGUCACAUGAUGAUCGCGGCAGCCAACUGUGCUAGCGCUCGAUGACGUGUGCGUCAGAAUUUAAAUAUAAAAUGUUAGAAAAAAUAACAAUAUGCGUGUUUGAAUUGAAAGAGAAAAAAAAGCAUUUUACAUCGCAGCAGUGACAUAAUUCUUAUCAAUGAUGCGUUACGUCGCUAAUUAGACAGUCUAAAUUCCGUCCGGACGGACCGGUGAUUAGUAUUUAAUUUACAGUUAACUUGUGAAUCUUAACAUCAAAGUGGCAGUUACUUUGGGAUUUCGAACUCAAUUUAAUAUUUGAAUUACAGCUAUAACAACAUAAUUUGUGUGAGACGGAUUGAUGAGAUGCAAACUGCAGUAUAAUGUUAACAUUAAACAUAUUAUAUAAUAUGAGUAAAA